This is a long non-coding RNA of Cydia pomonella (codling moth), 3182 nucleotides long. RefSeq lists it as uncharacterized. Lineage: Eukaryota; Metazoa; Arthropoda; Insecta; Lepidoptera; Tortricidae. The transcript has 3 exons. The record is from RefSeq and is a predicted model, not a curated record.
GAAACAUACUAUACACACAAUGACACAAGCAAUAAGGAAAAAUAUUUUUCAGGAGGACGGUCACAAAACAAGCUUUGACAAAGGAUCCUGCGAAAUUAGCGUCCUGUACAAUUGUAAAAACCUCGGAACGUCAACGAUCUCAAGUACAAAUUGCUGAUCAGAUUUCCAUACUAAUUAGCUAACUCUACCCUAGACGAAGUGGACAGUAAAUAUUUGUUCAGUAUCAGGAGGGGCCUAUCUUAUUGAGCAUAAACAUGCAAAGGUUAGUUCCGCCGUAUACUUUACCUAUAAUGCAAUCAUUGAAGCGAUAAUUAUUCUUAUAAUCCAUAUUUUAGUUCGUUAUAAAAAUAUAUUUUAGUGACUUGUACAUGAUUUACGCUUCUAAAUAGAGUUAGACCAACCUAAGUUAGCAGCGAUUUUGAUAGCCGAGACUGUUCAAGGAUUAUUUUAAACAUCAAACUUCUAUCAAAUUAUGACGUUUACAUAACACAUUCACAGUCUGGGCUGUUAAAAUCUCUGCCAACUUAGCUUAGUCUGGCUAUAAGAAAAUUAAAGCUGACAUAGUUAUAAAUCACUAAUAAAUACAAGUGGGUUAUAAUAUUAGGUUAGGUUAGGACUAGGACUAAAUAUAAAAGUUAACACUUUGUCAUAAGUAACAGAACCUAUAAAAUUAAGCACACAAGAAUCUGUUCCCUGUUUGUAUUCAUGUCGAAAACAUCAAAAGCUGUAAACAGUAAUUAAAAAUCGCGGUUGAGGUUAUCCACAAACAAAAUUGAUGAUGACAAUGACGUAGGACAUGGUCCGCUGCGUGCGUCAUUCGUAGCCUUAUUGUUUACAAGAUAAAGUCGGUUUCGGAGUAUUUUUGUUUAGGUGCAAAUGAUAUAUUACCUAUUCUUUUUAUUUUGCAGUUCGCACCUAAGAGUUAACUAUAUAUUUCUGGGCUUGUUUAUUAUUAUGCAACCAAAAAGUUCAACUUUUUUUUUGUAUAUCAAUCAACUAAACAUGAUUAUAAUUUGGUAACUAGUAGAGUGUGUACUAAAUACAGUAAAGCUGUAGAGAUAAGGGACCCCCCCUCCCCCUGCAUAGAAAUUUGUUUACAGGUAGGUCCACUUAUCUCUGCAGCUUACUGUACUUAUAUAUCCAAAAACCUGCGUUCAAGUAGAGCGAACUCUACCAGCACUACCGUCCGCACCUCCGUUCGUACUGGUUAAUUAUUUAGGAAUUCAUUAUAGUUUCAUUCAUUCACAAAUUUACUUAGUGUUCAUUUGAAAGUCAUAUAUUGCUGUUCAUUGUUCAGCCUCUACUUAAAGAAAUAAUUACAUAUUUUGUUUUCGUCACCGACUUCAACAGAACAAAAAGUGAGGGAGUAUUAUUAUAAACGUCAUUAUUUCACAUAAAUUUGACAUCAAUGAUGACAUCUCCACACUUUAUCACUGCAAACGCCACGCAGAGUUGGCUCGGUCCGACUCUACCUAUUAUUUUAUUUUUAUUACCGUAAGAUUUUCUUUAAAAAAAUCUAAAUGUAUGAAUUUAAUUGCACAAUCAAUAAAAUAUAUGUGCAAGCGAGUCACACUGAAAUCAAGAUCAAUCUGAAGGUAUUGUACGGGUAUUUACGGUUCUUAAAGCCUCCACCUGAGAGUGAGGUAGUACCGUUGUGACGCGCGGUGAUGGUGACGCGCCCGUGGCGUCAUGAUUGUGCUAUUUACAGAUUUAUACACACCUCUAGUCUAUUAGCGCUAACCAUCAUUUUUUGUUUUCGUUUUUCCUAACAAAGUACUUUAAUCCCGUCAAUUGCCAUAGGUAAAAAGUACUCGUAAUGUUAAUUUUAAACUACUAUAUGCAUAAAGAGGACUAUUUUUAGAGUCCCGCGAUAAUCUAGGUACCUACCUACCGGGUCCUCUUCGACUCGUCAAAGUGCUAGUCAUAACGCAGCUACUAAGGAUGUACGGAAAGUCACUUUUGUCUAGUCGCGUACCUACUGGAAAAGAUGCUUUAUCUGGUUAGCCAUAUUGACACUAAAACUGGCAUAAUUUCACGUAGUUUACGACAUCACUUGUCUUGUGACUUUAUCAUUAAAAUGCCAAAUUGGCAGUGAGGUCACCACUUUUACAAAAAUAAAUCUUUAUCACGUAUUAGUACGUGACUGAUUCGCUUCUGUUUGUGUCUAUAUAUAUUGGCAUAUUGCGCAAAGCUAUUGGUUGCAUUGCAUUGCAUCCAGCGAUGGUUGACGGCGAGUGCAACGAGUGGCCGGAGUAUGCGUGACGUGAAGCGCGUCAUCGGUGACGCCGCACCCGACCGUCCAUCUCUUUGUAAACACGCAAUUUCUCCGCGCGCCCGCCGCCGCCGCGCCGCAUCACAACAACAACAGCUGAUAACUGUGUUGCAACUGGCCCCUUUAAAUAACAGUAUGACAAUACUCAUGACGACAUAAAACCGACUUCACUAACUAACAAGAAUUAAACAUGAUGUUGCUAGUUACUUACUUAUGCUAAACAUUUACAUUUAUAUAAAAUCAGACAAUAGGUAAGAGUUGCGAUGUGUCAAUGCUUGUUUCAGGCCGUCGCGUUUCGUGUAAUGCUCGAUGGACGCUCGCUAAUUUGGUCGGUAGGUUUUGCAAUUUGGUACCUAUCGGAGGCCCGAGACUGAGAGGCUAUGCCGAGGAGCGCAGAGUGCAACAAUGACGUCAUGCGGGGCGAGGGGGGCGGGAGGCGCGGGACAUCGAGAACGGAGCCGCGCGCCCGUUCAUUGUAGUUUUUCGAUUAUUGUUUAAUUAGGGCGAAACGGCGGCGGAGCGGCGGCCAGGGCACGUCCACGCGCGGCCCGCUCGCAGUUAUCAGCUGGAGGAGUACGUACAGAGCGUAGUAGGUACCUAGUCAUUUCAGGUUGUUACUUUGCGUGAUUAUUUUGCUGAUUUAAGUAUACUUAUUACGUGUAAUAAUACAUGACAACAAUAAAAAAACACACAUAUGUAAUAGUUAUCUAUGUCCUUUUUAUAAAUUUGAAAUAGGUACCUGACUGCUAAGAUAUUUUAAGAUAUUGUGAUUUUGAGUGAAAUUGGUACUGUAAAUGUACCAAUGCAUAAAAUAAAAUAUGGAAUUGACGUUCAAACGUAUGACACAGAAGUACACAUUUGAUAUUUAUUACAUUAGGAUAUGAUUCUUUUAUUUACUAUUUCCUCUCCA